This 705-nucleotide ribosomal RNA is filed under the name Triticum aestivum (bread wheat). RNAcentral's name for it is "partial small subunit ribosomal RNA". Lineage: Eukaryota; Viridiplantae; Streptophyta; Magnoliopsida; Poales; Poaceae. The record is from RNAcentral.
AUGCAACAGGAAAUAGAGGAGCAAACUAGCUUUGAUGUGGAAGAACAACAAAGUGAAGAACAAUUAGAACCAGUUUCAGAAGGAGAUCAGGCCAUGUUCAUAUCUGCUUUUGCAAUGGGACAACAGCUAGCAGUUCCCACCCCAACAGUAAUAAUAUACAUCAAUGGAAAAAGGGCAGUGGCCUUACUGGAUUCUGGCAGUACUACUUCCUUCAUUAACCAGGAUUUUGCAGUAAAAGCUAAUUGCAACAUGCUCCCUGUAAAACCAAGAAGUAUAUCUGUGGCUGGAGGAGGAGUACUAGUAUCUGUUGCAGUGAUUCCCAAGUGUGAAUUUCAAAUUGCAAAACUGACUCUAUCCCACAACUUCAGAGUACUUGCUCUACCAAGUCAUGAUGUGAUCUUAGGAUAUGACUGGUUUUCUGCUGUUAGUCCUGUAUCAUUUGAUAUACCAGCACAGCAAUUUGGGUUUACUCAUGAAGGAAAGCAGACUGUAUCCACAACCAUGUUCUCAACUGCUGCUAGCUUGAAAGAAGUACCUCCAAAGAGAGUUGACAAACUUAUGGAAAAAGGGCCAGAAGUGUUCCUCUGCCAGGUCAACAACAUUCUCAUGGAUGCUCCUGAGGAUUUUAAAACCCCUCCACAAAUACAGAAAUUACUGUUGGAAUAUGCAGAUCUUUUUGAAGAACCCAAGACCCUACCUCCUUAG